ACUAAAGUUGUUGCAGUUAAAAAGCUCGUAGUUGGAUUUCAUGCGGGGUUCACGGUGUGUGGUGGGGGUGAGACACUGUUUCGCCUCCACCUUGCACUGUUUGGGCUCUGCAGUUUUAAUAUUCCCUGGUGGCGCCUUUGGCGCGUGCCCUUGAUUGGGUGUGUGUCAAGUCACGUAGUGGUGGGGCGCUGUUGGGGGCUUUACUUUGAAAAAAUUAGAGUGUUCAAAGCAGGCAGUCAUUUGAUUUGCUUGAAUAGAUUAGCAUGGAACAACGGAAGAGGACUUUUGGGCCUGUACUGUUGGCGUGUGGUGCGGGGGUGUGGAGUGAGAAACCGCAAGGUUUUCUUAUUCCACCCUCACCACAUCGGGUCUGAAGUAAUGAUUAAUAGGGACGGUUGGGGGCACUGGUAUUUCGUUGUCAGAGGUGAAAUUCUUGGAUUUACGAAAGACCGCCGACUGCGAAAGCAUUUGCCAAGGACGCUUUCAUUGAUCAAGAACGAAAGUUAGGGGAUCGAAGACGAUUAGAUACCGUCGUAGUCUUAACCAUAAACGAUGCCGGCCAGGGCUCGGUGGGCAGCACAAACUUUUCUCAAGUGGAGGCGCCAUCGGGACCUUUAGGGAAACCAAAGCGUUUGGGUUCCGGGGGGAGUAUGAUCGCAAGAUUGAAACUUAAAGGAAUUGACGGAAGGGCACCACCAGGAGUGGAGCCUGCGGCUUAAUUUGACUCAACACGGGGAAACUCACCAGGUCCAGACAUGGGAAGGAUUGACAGAUUGACAGCUCUUUCUUGAUUCCAAGGGAGGUGGUGCAUGGCCGUCCAGCUUUUGUUGUGAAAUCUCUGUUUGAUUACGGUAAACGGCGAGACCUUGACUUGCUGAUUGGUGUGCGCCUGCGUUAGCAGGCGUUGGAGAUUACGCGCAAGCGUGUCUUUUGAUACACCACUCAGAGGGACACUCGGCGUUGCUAUUGAGCGUAAGCCGAAGGAAGUUUGAGGCGAUAACAGGUCUGUGAUGCCCUUAGAUGUUCUGGGCUGCACGCGCGCUACACUGACGGGGGCAGCGAGUAUGCUUUGGGUGUUUGUGGUGGGGAAAGUCUUGUGCUUUUCUACGACAGACAUCUAUUCCUGCGCUGGAAGGCGUGGGGACUCUUGUGAAAACCCGUCGUGCUGGGGAUAGAUGCUUGCAAUUAUUCAUCUUGAACGAGGAAUUCCUAGUAAGCGCAAUUCAACAGAUUGCGUUGAUUACGUCCCUGCCCUUUGUACACACCGCCCGUCGCUACUACCGAUUGAAUGGUUUAGUGAGGCCUCGGGAUUGGCGCGUGGGCGCUGGCAACAGCUGCCCAUGUCAUCUUUUGCUGAGAACCUGGUCAAACUUGAUCAUUUAGAGGAAGUAAAAGUCGUAACAAGGUUUCCGUAGGUGAACCUGCGGAAGG
Molecule: ribosomal RNA, 1431 nt
Filed under: Salpingoeca rosetta
Lineage: Eukaryota; Choanoflagellata; Craspedida; Salpingoecidae
Description: SSU rRNA
Rfam family: Eukaryotic small subunit ribosomal RNA
Source: RNAcentral